This 207-nucleotide ribosomal RNA is filed under the name uncultured bacterium. RNAcentral describes it as "partial 16S ribosomal RNA". It matches the Rfam family "Bacterial small subunit ribosomal RNA", at positions 568 to 774 of the family's 1533-position model. The record is from RNAcentral.
CGUGUAGGCGGUUUGUACAGUUAGAUGUGAAAUCCCCGGGCUUAACCUGGGAGCUGCAUUUAAUACGUGCAGACUAGAGUGUGAGAGAGGGUUGUGGAAUUCCCAGUGUAGAGGUGAAAUUCGUAGAUAUUGGGAAGAACACCAGUGGCGAAGGCGGCUUACUGGAUGGUAACUGACGUUGAGGCUCGAAAGCGUGGGGAGCAAACA